RNAcentral lists this ribosomal RNA (919 nucleotides) under uncultured archaeon. Its description in RNAcentral is "bacterial SSU rRNA". It matches the Rfam family "Archaeal small subunit ribosomal RNA", at positions 85 to 927 of the family's 1478-position model. The record is from RNAcentral.
ACUGCUCAGUAACACGUGGCUAACCUACCCUCAGGACCGGGACAACUUCGGGAAACUGAGGCUAAACCCGGAUAGAUGGAGAGGCCUGGAACGGUUCUCCGUCGAAAAGGCGCUAGGGCUAUGCUUCCUAGUGUCGCCCGAGGAUGGGGCCGCGACCGAUCAGGUCGUUGGUGAGGUAACGGCUCACCAAGCCUAUAACCGGUACGGGCCGUGAGAGCGGGAGCCCGGAGAUGGGCACUGAGACAAGGGCCCAGGCCCUACGGGGCGCAGCAGGCGCGAAACCUCUGCAAUGCGCGAAAGCGUGACAGGGUCAUCCCGAGUGCCAUCCGCUGAGGAAGGCUUUUACCCGGUCUAACUCGCCGGGAGAAUAAGGGGAGGGCAAGUCUGGUGUCAGCCGCCGCGGUAAUACCAGCUCCUCGAGUGGUUGGGACGAUUAUUGGGCCUAAAGCGUCCGUAGCCGGCUGGAAAAGUUCUCCGUAAAAUCCAACGAUCCAAUCGUUGGCUCGCGGGGAAUACUUUCCGGCUUGGGGGCGGGGGAGGUCGGCGGUAGUCCCGGGGUAGGGGCGAAAAACGUCGAAAGACGAUUCGCAUUCUUAUAAUCCCGGGAGGACCACCAGUGGCGAAGGCGGCCGACUAAAACGCGCCCGACGGUGAGGGACGAAAGCUGGGGGAGCGAACGGGAUUAGAUACCCCGGUAGUCCCAGCUGUAAACGAUGCAGGCUAGGUGUUAGGACGGGUACGGCCCGUUCUAGUGCCGCAGGGAAGCCAUUAAGCCUGCCGCCUGGGGAGUACGGCCGCAAGGCUGAAUUCUCGUCCAGACAGAAACCGCGUUUGGGGGGACGGUCACUUAAAGGAAUUGGCGGGGGAGCACCACAGGGGGUGAAGCUUGGCGGUUAAUUGGAUUCAACGCCGGAAAUCC